This is an RNA transcript of Anopheles arabiensis, 2726 nucleotides long. RefSeq lists it as uncharacterized. Lineage: Eukaryota; Metazoa; Arthropoda; Insecta; Diptera; Culicidae. The transcript is spliced from 4 exons. The record is from RefSeq and is a predicted model, not a curated record.
AUCAAUCUCGUGCUCUCGCCACGUUAGAGCGUUUUUGUUGGUGGCAUUUCGCUUGCACUAGCGAAUAACCGCGAAUACCGUCUCACUCGCGUUGGCAGCAGCAUGGAGGAGUUACGCACACGACUCGUCGUGCCGGAUGGCUGUGCCUGUGUGUGCUUGCUGCUUUGUAUCGGUAUGUGUCCUCGGGGAUCGGCUUCGUCGUCGUGGUCGUCGUACAUCAUCGCACGAGUCCAGCAACGCGUCUACGCCGCUGUAACUGGAGCACACGCGUCCAACGGUUGGUUGGUCCAAUGGCAGUAAACUCCGCUGCUCGUCGGCACCACCGUUAUCAGUUGUUCCGUUGACGUUUGUGCGGCAAGCCACGAGGUUUCAAGCCACCGGCCGGGACUGGUUCGGUCAACGGUUUCGACAGUCGAGCCCUUUGCACGUGAUCGAUAGUGUCUAGUGGCGUUGAAGUGGUUGGUCUGGGACGAGGACGCUCCAAGCGUGUAGGGUGACCAGUGUGAGCGUGCGUGAGUCUGUAAGCGUGAACGUGUGUGUGUGUGAGUGUAUGCACAAAUGUUCAAGAAUUUGCCUGGCACAAUGUGUGAAGGUGCCGUUUUGCAAGUGAGGUGUGAGACAACUUCAACCACUACUAAAGACGGGAACCACCAUAUGGUACCGAACGGAACGGACAGCCACAACAUCAAAGUGUAGUGGGCCAGUUUGAAGCGGUCGAGUGGAUCAAAUGACGAGCCUUAUUGUCCGGGGCAAGCAGAAGUGUUUGUCGCUGUACGUGUCCGUGCACUUCGGAUGGGGAAAAUGGGAACACUUGGGGACAAGCGUGUGACACAUACGGUUUGGUGCUCGUGGUGCAACGAUACAAUCGCGCCAGCAAGACGCGCACGGACAGACUGUCGCCUUCCGGCAAGUGUGUGUGUGUCUGUUUGUAUGUACUGAAACAAACGAUUCUGGAAUGUUAUGCGCGGGUGUACGAGUGUGUGUGUUUUUUUUUACUGCAUAUGUGACCACCUUAGCCUUAGUCAUGUGCACGGAAAGCAUGGCCGCAUUCGGCGUCGGCGUCAGAAAGAGCAAACCAUCUCCAGCGGCAGUCCAGCUGAUGCGGAGGUCCAUUCCGUGCUGAAAAAGGAAAUCUUCAAAAUGGCACGAACGUACGCGUGGAUGUGUUGGUGACCGUCUGGAAGGAAACCCUGGAACCCUGGAAGAAGAACUUGGCUGAUGGGGCUGCCAAGAAGACGGGAGAGGCAAAAAAUUAAACAUGCAUCACGCCCGUAACCACUUUUGGGUUAGCGCUUGGAUGUGUUGAACCGAACGCGCACUGUCUUCAGGAUCAGGAGCAAUCAGCAACCCUCCCGCGUACCACCUUCAUUUCCCCUACUGCUAUGUCGGGCGGGCAAUAGCUCCAAGCGGGAUUUAUUACACGGAUCGGAUGACGGAUCGAAAUUGUUUCGACAUGGACGUGUCGUUUUUUUUGUUUUGCUUCUUUGAGGCCAAUUCAUUUGCCGAUAAUAACUCGAUUCGAGUUUGAAACGCUUUGUGGAGGCUGCAACACCGUGUGCUGUUCGAUGAAAUGGGGCAGACAUAGGAGGAGGAGUAGCGUAAAACAUCCAUUAGUGAUAUUAAAUUAUUGACCAUAUUUUCAAACUGUAGUUGUACACGUUUCAUCUUUACAGGAAGAUCUUCAAUGGCUUUCAAAAAUGCUCGUUCCAUCAAACCCUUCAUUAAACAACUGUAAAGUGCGUGCUAGUUAAGAGGCAUUCGCGAUGAAGCUCGAAUCAUCUUAAGUUCAAAUAUUUCAAAUCCACUUUUCAUAAAUACCUUCGCACUGUAGCCGAAACACACGGGCAUCGAUGGAGAUUGUGGAAAUAGUUGAAAUAUUGCCUGCACGAAAUAGCUGGCAGUGAACAUUCCCGCAUCUCGCACUUUCCAAAGCAAAGUUUACCCCAAGUGCGUGUGGUGUGUAUGUGCAACCUACUAAUCGGUGAACUUCAACCGGAAGUGAAUCAUGCUUCGCAACAUGAUGCGCGUGUGUGUGUGCACAGCGUGUGUGAUUGACAUUCUCGUAAGCGGCGGUGUGUUUCCUGAUAAUGAAUGGAACCACAGCACAAUCCCAACUCCUCAUGCUUUUCCCGCCCUUGUGUAGUGUGUUUUAUGUUGUUGAUGAAACAUCGCUUUUUUCCAUUUGUUUUUCGUAGUUGUAGGAUUUUGUUUACAAAAAAAAAAGCAAUCCAAUUCAAAUCUGUUUUUGUCCCUUCAUCCGGUUUGUGGUGUCACGCGUGGUUCGAUUCUGAUGUCGCAAGACAUGCGCGAAACCGCUAAAAGCCAUAAUCCCUGCGUGUGUGUGUAUUUGUGUGUAGUUAUCCCAUCGCCUAUUUAAUACCUUGUAACAUGUAUCCUAAAAACCCGCCUCUAUCCUGUAAGUGUGUACAUCCUGUCGUAGCGUAUCCAUGUAGUGUCGUUGUAUCUGUGUGUGUGUAUAAAUCUGUGUAGUGUCCCGAGCGAGCGAUCGGCUCAAUCAGCCCCACCACCUUUUUUCCAUUUGCAAUCAUCUCAACCCCCAUCCAACAACAUCCAUCGACAGUGCGCGAUUUCACAGCUGCUGGUUGCUUUAUACGUCACUAACACUCCACCACAACCCACCCAACGCCAACCUACACCCUGCCCUGCCCAACGCCAACCUUUACCAUCCUGCCCAAAUGCUGCGCUGCUGCAGAACCCUGCAGUCG